GACGAACGCUGGCGGCGUGCUUAACACAUGCAAGUCGAACGGAAAGGCCCUGCUUUUGUGGGGUGCUCGAGUGGCGAACGGGUGAGUAACACGUGAGUAACCUGCCCUUGACUUUGGUAUAACUUCAGGAAACUGGGGCUAAUACCGGAUAGGAGCUCCUGCUGCAUGGUGGGGGUUGGAAAGUUUCGGCGGUUGGGGAUGGACUCGCGGCUUAUCAGCUUGUUGGUGGGGUAGUGGCUUACCAAGGCUUUGACGGGUAGCCGGCCUGAGAGGGUGACCGGCAACAUUGGGACUGAGAUACGGCCCAGACUCGGACGGGAGGCAGCAGUGGGGAAUAUUGCACUAUGGGCGGAAGCCUGAAGCAGCAACGCCGCGUGCGGGAUGACGGCCUUCGGGUUGUAAACCGCUUUUGCCUGUGACGAAGCGGGAGUGACGGUAAUGGGUAAAGAAGCACCGGCUAACUACGUG
This 468-nucleotide ribosomal RNA is filed under the name uncultured bacterium. Its description in RNAcentral is "partial 16S ribosomal RNA". It matches the Rfam family "Bacterial small subunit ribosomal RNA", at positions 28 to 507 of the family's 1533-position model. The record is from RNAcentral.